This 21-nucleotide unclassified non-coding RNA is filed under the name Mus musculus (house mouse). Its description in RNAcentral is "oocyte_clustered_small_RNA12472". Lineage: Eukaryota; Metazoa; Chordata; Mammalia; Rodentia; Muridae. The record is from RNAcentral.
ACGGGGUGGAAUGUCACACAC